UUAAACCAAUUCUUCGAACUUCUAGUAAGCUUCUUCUGGCGUAUUUAUUGAUGCGUAGAAAGACCAUCCAUAGCGCCGAUUUUCAAAGAUGGCCAUACAAAAUAAUCGACCAAUUUCGAAACUCACCUCCAUUGUAAAGCUUUUUGAGUGCAUUUUUAAAGCUAAAUUAGUUUUUGGUGGGGUUGUUCAAAGCAGGUUUACUGUUCCUAACCUGACUUUAUUUGUCGGCGAUUGUCUUGCAGAUCAUCAAGCGGCGGAUUUCGUGACGUGGCGUCUAAGCCGGCCGAGUGCAGCGAAUCGCACAAUGAACAGCAGAUGUUGCCGGACGACUUCAGAACUCGUUCUUUCCAGAAAAUCUUUUGUAUACCACACAACCUUUAUUUAUUCUAUACAUAUAUAUAACUUUAUACUUCUAUAAUAUAUACCUGGAAAUAUAUCGCCGUUUAAUCCAGAGUGUUUCACGGGAAUUCGAACCUACGUACUCAGGUAGCCAGGCGGCAACCAAUUCAGCUACAGGGCUGCCUACUGUUUCAUUUCCUAUUAUUAUUUACUACUACUCAGGCGUGAGCAAAAGGAAGAUCUUCUCGCUGUAUCAGAAGCAGGCCGUUGGCAGAUGGACUAACAUGGAUAUCUGCAAAAUAACUCAACAAACGAGGCCCAAUUUCAACAAAUCUCGAGUUCACGGGUUGCCUUGAAAGCCACGAGUAGAGAUAUUCAGAAUUACAUCAAAACUAGUCUGCCACUAACGUUUGGGAGACCAUGCCAGGAAGCGGUGGUGACCGUACAACGAUAGAUGUAGAAGGUGCAAACAAAAAUAAUCUUAGGAAACCGUCUUUCACUAUCUGUGAAAGACGUUCGUUUGAUCAUCCACUGGAAAGGCCGGUGGAACAGAUCACCACAAGGUAGAUGUACGCAUGGGACCAUUCUUGCGACUUAGGAAGAAAGGAACCAUAGAGAAACAAACUUCCACGCAACUCAGUUCCUUUCAAUUUCAAUUCCGACAGUACCAUCGUUCUAUUAAA
Long non-coding RNA from Anastrepha ludens (Mexican fruit fly), 1022 nucleotides. RefSeq lists it as uncharacterized. The transcript has 4 exons. The record is from RefSeq and is a predicted model, not a curated record. Lineage: Eukaryota; Metazoa; Arthropoda; Insecta; Diptera; Tephritidae.